UACAGAGGGUGCAAGCGUUAAUCGGAAUUACUGGGCGUAAAGCGCGCGUAGGCGGCUGAUUAAGUCGGAUGUGAAAGCCCUGGGCUCAACCUAGGAACUGCAUUCGAUACUGAUCAGCUAGAGUAUGAGAGAGGGAGGUAGAAUUCCAUGUGUAGCGGUGAAAUGCGUAGAUAUGUGGAGGAAUACCGGUGGCGAAGGCGGCCUCCUGGCUUAAUACUGACGCUGAGGUGCGAAAGCGUGGGGAGCAAACAGG
RNAcentral lists this ribosomal RNA (253 nucleotides) under uncultured bacterium. Its description in RNAcentral is "partial 16S ribosomal RNA". It matches the Rfam family "Bacterial small subunit ribosomal RNA", at positions 524 to 776 of the family's 1533-position model. The record is from RNAcentral.